Molecule: ribosomal RNA, 517 nt
Filed under: uncultured Staphylococcus sp.
Lineage: Bacteria; Bacillati; Bacillota; Bacilli; Caryophanales; Staphylococcaceae
Description: bacterial SSU rRNA
Rfam family: Bacterial small subunit ribosomal RNA
Source: RNAcentral
AGAGUUUGAUCCUGGCUCAGGAUGAACGCUGGCGGCGUGCCUAAUACAUGCAAGUCGAGCGAACAGAUAAGGAGCUUGCUCCUUUGACGUUAGCGGCGGACGGGUGAGUAACACGUGGGUAACCUACCUAUAAGACUGGAAUAACUCCGGGAAACCGGGGCUAAUGCCGGAUAAUAUUUAGAACCGCAUGGUUCUAAAGUGAAAGAUGGUUUUGCUAUCACUUAUAGAUGGACCCGCGCCGUAUUAGCUAGUUGGUGGGGUAAUGGCUUACCAAGGCAACGAUACGUAGCCGACCUGAGAGGGUGAUCGGCCACACUGGAACUGAGACACGGUCCAGACUCCUACGGGAGGCAGCAGUAGGGAAUCUUCCGCAAUGGGCGAAAGCCUGACGGAGCAACGCCGCGUGAGUGAUGAAGGUCUUCGGAUCGUAAAACUCUGUUAUUAGGGAAGAACAAAUGUGUAAGUAACUGUGCACGUCUUGACGGUACCUAAUCAGAAAGCCACGGCCAACUACGUG